Molecule: ribosomal RNA, 429 nt
Filed under: Pseudomonadota bacterium
Lineage: Bacteria; Pseudomonadati; Pseudomonadota
Description: Proteobacteria bacterium partial 16S ribosomal RNA
Rfam family: Bacterial small subunit ribosomal RNA
Source: RNAcentral
UGGGGAAUAUUGGACAAUGGGCGAAAGCCUGAUCCAGCCAUGCCGCGUGUGUGAAGAAGGUCUUCGGAUUGUAAAGCACUUUAAGUUGGGAGGAAGGGCAGUAAGCGAAUACCUUGCUGUUUUGACGUUACCGACAGAAUAAGCACCGGCUAACUCUGUGCCAGCAGCCGCGGUAAUACAGAGGGUGCAAGCGUUAAUCGGAAUUACUGGGCGUAAAGCGCGCGUAGGUGGUUCGUUAAGUUGAAUGUGAAAGCCCCGGGCUCAACCUGGGAACUGCAUCCAAAACGGGCGAGCUAGAGUAGGGCAGAGGGUGGUGGAAUGUCCUGUGUAGCGGUGAAAUGCGUAGAUAUAGGAAGGAACACCAGUGGCGAAGGCGACCACCUGGGCUCAUACUGACACUGAGGUGCGAAAGCGUGGGGAGCAAACAGG